GCCUUGGUAUGGAAACCUACCAAGUGAUAACUUUCAAAUUCAGAGAAACCCUGGAAUUAAAAAUGGGCAAUCCUGAGCCAAAUCCCGUUUUAUGAAAACAAACAAGGGUUUCAGAAAGCGAGAAUAAAUAAAGGAUAGGUGCAGAGACUCAAUGGAAGCUGUUCUAACAAAUGGAGUUGGCUGCAUUGUGUUCGUAGUAAAGGAAUCGAAACUUCCGAAAGGAUGAAAGAUAAACUAUAUACAAAAGAUAAACUAUAUACAUAUGUAUACUUACUGAAAUACUAUCGCCAAAUAAUUCAAAAUGAUUAAUGACGACUCCGUCCGCUAAAUCUUUUUAUUUUUAAAAAUUUUUAAAUCGGAUAAGAAUAAAGAUAGAGUCCCAUUCUACAUGUCAAUAUCGACAACAAUGAAAUUUAUAGUAAGAGGAAAAUCCGUCGACUUUAGAAAUCGUGAGGGUUCAAGUCCCUCUAUCCCCAAAAAGACCCGGUUGCCUCCCUAA
RNAcentral lists this non-coding RNA (499 nucleotides) under Fragaria daltoniana. Its description in RNAcentral is "transfer RNA-Leu". The stretch from base 1 to 401 matches the Rfam family "Group I catalytic intron". From Rfam's summary of the family: Group I catalytic introns are large self-splicing ribozymes. They catalyse their own excision from mRNA, tRNA and rRNA precursors in a wide range of organisms. Lineage: Eukaryota; Viridiplantae; Streptophyta; Magnoliopsida; Rosales; Rosaceae. The record is from RNAcentral.